This 38-nucleotide ribosomal RNA is filed under the name Arthraxon hispidus. RNAcentral's name for it is "partial 26S ribosomal RNA". The record is from RNAcentral. Lineage: Eukaryota; Viridiplantae; Streptophyta; Magnoliopsida; Poales; Poaceae. RNAcentral also lists the same sequence under 1 other name.
GCGACCCCAGGUCAGUCGGGACUACCCGCUGAGUUUAA